GGAAGCUUCCUUUUGGGAAAGAGAAGAUGCUUCUGCGUGUUUUCUAAGGAGGCUCUUAGGAUGGUUAUGCAAGGCAUGAGAGAAUUGCUUGAAAGAACAGUCUGUGUGGUUCCUGCCUCACAUUACAGCAUCUGGAGGAGAUGAGAAAGAAAGAGAAAAUCCUGUGGAGUAACACAUGGGAGAGUAGCAAUGGCAAGGUAGUGUGGCUGGUGCCCAAGGUCAACUACAGACCAGAGCUGUAGGAGCUCUCCAAGGUCUCGAAAGGAACACAAGGUUCCCGGGUGAUUCCUGCACACUGUCAAGUUUGAGAAGCACUGGCACCAGCUUUUACUAGGCGCUCACAGUGGUCCAAGUGCGGUGCCAGGUAUUUACACAUGCCAUCUCAUUUCAGCCUCACAGCCUCUCAGCUGUUAGCGCCCCCUCUGACAAACAAGGAGACACCUGCCAUUCGUUCAACAAAUCCUUCCUGAGUGCCUAAUAUGAGAGAAGCUCCGUACUAGGGACUGGGGAACAAAAAGGGCGCUCCCCUGCUGGACUAGUGCUUAGAGACCAAUGGGGUAUGAUGUCAGCGUUAUCACUUAACAGCUGUGUGUUCAUGGGCGACUUCCUUGGCUUCUCUGAGCUCCGGUUUCCUCUUCUGCAGAUCUGGGCUGUGGUCAUGAUUCAGUGAUUUCCCCUAGGCCAAGUACUCACCAAAAGGCUUGAAUCUAGCGCAUUGCCCCUGAGCCCUGGAGGAUGGCCCCAUCCUGGACUGUCCUCAGACCCGCACAGUCUGCCUCUGGUAGAAGCUGAUUCAUCCAGGGCAACUCGCCAUCAUCAUCAAUCUGGGAGGAACCAGAUACACCUCAUAGUUCCUGAAAUCAGCCUGUUUUCACCUGCACAGUCACCUGAAGCAGCUGACUGUCUGCUCUGUGAAGAGAGAGGCUGAGCCUUGUUCCUCUCUCUAGUCCCACCGGGGCCUGUCACAUAGUAGGUGCUCAAUAAAUGUGUUGGAUGAAUCAGUCAGUCAAUGAAUUGAUGAAUAAAAAUGCAACUCCUUGUUACUUUUCAGCAGGGAAUUGAUUGGAUGUCUACAACAGUCCAGGUAGAAAGACAAUCUACUGUCUAGGUUAAAAGGAUAAAGUCAGGAGCAGGCAGCCUGGGUUUGAAUCCCAGCUCUGCCACAAGGCUUUGGGCAAGUUAUAUAACCUCUCUGGGCCUCAGUUUCUUUAUUUGGAAAAU
Kogia breviceps (pygmy sperm whale) is the source of this 1221-nucleotide non-coding RNA. Lineage: Eukaryota; Metazoa; Chordata; Mammalia; Artiodactyla; Physeteridae. The record is from RefSeq and is a predicted model, not a curated record.